Molecule: ribosomal RNA, 159 nt
Filed under: Fusarium solani
Lineage: Eukaryota; Fungi; Ascomycota; Sordariomycetes; Hypocreales; Nectriaceae
Description: 5.8S ribosomal RNA
Rfam family: 5.8S ribosomal RNA
About the family: 5.8S ribosomal RNA (5.8S rRNA) is a component of the large subunit of the eukaryotic ribosome. It is transcribed by RNA polymerase I as part of the 45S precursor that also contains 18S and 28S rRNA.
Source: RNAcentral
AAUUAAAACUUUCAACAACGGAUCUCUUGGCUCUGGCAUCGAUGAAGAACGCAGCGAAAUGCGAUAAGUAAUGUGAAUUGCAGAAUUCAGUGAAUCAUCGAAUCUUUGAACGCACAUUGCGCCCGCCAGUAUUCUGGCGGGCAUGCCUGUUCGAGCGUC